GCGCUCCUAGCUCAGCAGGAUAGAGCAACAGCCUUCUAAGCUGUGGGUCGGGCGUUCGAAUCGCCCGGAGCGCGCCA
Molecule: transfer RNA, 77 nt
Filed under: Azospirillum sp. 51_20
Lineage: Bacteria; Pseudomonadati; Pseudomonadota; Alphaproteobacteria; Rhodospirillales; Azospirillaceae
Also listed under: 2 other names
Description: tRNA-Arg
Rfam family: tRNA
About the family: Transfer RNA (tRNA) molecules are approximately 80 nucleotides in length.
Source: RNAcentral